CGAGUGCUAGCAUCAUAUGCUGGCUGUCCAGGUGUGUAAAAUACACCUGUUAGCAAGGGCCGGGCAAGACCGGUGCCAGCCGCCGCGGUAACACCGGCGGCCCGAGUGGUGAUCGUGAUUAUUGGGUCUAAAGGGUCCGUAGCCGGUUUGGUCAGUCCUCCGGGAAAUCUGAUAGCUCAACUAUUAGGCUUUCGGGGGAUACUGCCAGGCUUGGAACCGGGAGAGGUAAGAGGUACUACAGGGGUAGGAGUGAAAUCUUGUAAUCCCUGAUGGGACCACCAGUGGCGAAGGCGUCUCACCAGAACGGACUCUGACGGCAAGGGACGAAAGCUAGGGGCACGAACCGGAUUAGAUACCCGGGUAGUCCCAGCCGUAAACGAUACUCGCUAGGUGUCAGGCCACGGCGCGACCGUUGUCUGGUGCCGCAGGGAAGCCGUGAAGCGAGCCACCUGGGAAGUACGGCCGCAAGGCUGAAACUUAAAGGAAUUGGCGGGGGAGCACAACAACGGGUGGAGCCUGCGGUUUAAUUGGAUCUCAACGCCGGACAAUCUCACCGGGAACGACAGCAAUAUGAAGGCCAGGCUGAAGACCUUACCGGAAUAGCUGAGAGGAGGUGCAUGGCCGUCGCCAGUUCGUACUGUGAAGCAUCCUGUUAAGUCAGGCAACGAGCGAGACCCA
This 678-nucleotide ribosomal RNA is filed under the name unidentified archaeon. RNAcentral describes it as "bacterial SSU rRNA". It matches the Rfam family "Archaeal small subunit ribosomal RNA", at positions 382 to 1054 of the family's 1478-position model. The record is from RNAcentral.